AAACUGAAGAGUUUGAUCAUGGCUCAGAUUGAACGCUGGCGGCAGGCUUAACACAUGCAAGUCGAGCGGUAACAGGGGUAGCUUGCUACCCGCUGACGAGCGGCGGACGGGUGAGUAAUGCAUAGGAAACUGCCCAGUAGUGGGGGAUAGCCCGGGGAAACCCGGAUUAAUACCGCGUACGCCCUUCGGGGGAAAGCAGGGGAUCUUCGGACCUUGCGCUAUUGGAUGUGCCUAUGUCGGAUUAGCUAGUUGGUGGGGUAAAGGCCUACCAAGGCGAC
RNAcentral lists this ribosomal RNA (278 nucleotides) under Marinobacter sp. RNAcentral's name for it is "partial 16S ribosomal RNA". It matches the Rfam family "Bacterial small subunit ribosomal RNA", at positions 1 to 277 of the family's 1533-position model. The record is from RNAcentral. Lineage: Bacteria; Pseudomonadati; Pseudomonadota; Gammaproteobacteria; Pseudomonadales; Marinobacteraceae.